CCAGCUUUUACAUACGAAUAUCCGAGACCUGCAUAUCCGGGAUAAGGGAUCCAACCAGAUAUUAAAACUACGAAUCCGCCGGAUACGGAUACGGGUCCGGAUAUCCGGCUCCGCCCCAGCCCUACGUGUUGAGAUAUUAGCGAGAACAAAGACACGUCAUCCAACGUAUUUGUUUUUUUUUAUCGUCUUUUAGAUUUAUUAAGUAUUGCAGAUUAUGAGAAUUGUUACAAAGAUAGAUCUACCAUGGACAAUUCCUUCCGUCCCUCACUGGAGAUCUUCUGUAAACUUAUCUUCAUUAAUCUGCAGAAAUAUUAAUAAAUCGCGCUCUCUGGGGCUCGAACCCCAGACUUCCUGGUGUAGAAGCAUUACUAAACCCUUGAUCAACACCGUUGGACCAAGGAGGCUUCUACCGUCAUCCAAG
This 421-nucleotide long non-coding RNA is filed under the name Capsella rubella. RNAcentral describes it as "long non-coding RNA (CRUB_LNC004096)". Lineage: Eukaryota; Viridiplantae; Streptophyta; Magnoliopsida; Brassicales; Brassicaceae. The record is from RNAcentral.